UUCCCAGGCUGAUGGAGCAAGUGAUGAAAUGGGUUACCAACUGUAGUUCCUCCCGUCAGCGCGGAAUGCUGCAGGGAAUGUAUUCAGACAUGCCCAGAGAAGUCUGCCCAAGGUCAAAUUAAUACCUUGGAGGU
RNAcentral lists this long non-coding RNA (134 nucleotides) under Chinchilla lanigera (long-tailed chinchilla). RNAcentral describes it as "Rhabdomyosarcoma 2 associated transcript conserved region 2 (ENSCLAG00000021401.1)". It matches the Rfam family "Rhabdomyosarcoma 2 associated transcript conserved region 2". Lineage: Eukaryota; Metazoa; Chordata; Mammalia; Rodentia; Chinchillidae. The record is from RNAcentral.